Long non-coding RNA from Panicum virgatum (switchgrass), 1552 nucleotides. RefSeq lists it as uncharacterized. The transcript has 4 exons. Lineage: Eukaryota; Viridiplantae; Streptophyta; Magnoliopsida; Poales; Poaceae. The record is from RefSeq and is a predicted model, not a curated record.
CCAAGAACCCUCCUUCUCCUUUCUGCCUCCACAUGACGGCGCGUCGGCGCCGACCCUCCCCUCGCCUUGCACCUCCACACGACGGCGCCGCCCCUCCACUUCGCCUCGCCCCUCCACGCAACGGUGCCGCCCCUCCACUACGCCUCGCACCUCCACGCAACGGCGCCGCCCCUCCACUCCGCCUUCGCUGGAUCCGGCGAGCCGCGUGUCCUCCGCCUCCACCUCUUCGCCAUCGUCGUCCAUCGGGGUCGAGUUCGCCACCCGCAGCAUCCACGUCGAGGACAAGGUCAUCAAGGCCCAGAUCUAGGACACCGCCGGCCAGGAAAGAGGUCUUUGUCAGCCCUCCUUAUAUGUUCCUUCCUGUGGUUAAGAGCCAGCUGCGCCCAGAGUUCCAAGUUGCUGCUCAGAACUGCUGGGUGAAGAAGGGAGGUGCUUUCACUGGUGAAGUCAGCUUACAAUGGAAACGAUGCCCUCACCAUCUCGACUAGAAGAUGUUGGGGUCACCUCGAACGGCCCACCAUCUAUCAACAACAAUAUACAAGAAUAUCUCGGAAGCUCUCCACUGAAGAGGCCCAAAGAAACAAGUAAAAAGAUGCAACCAACAGUAAAGCGGGCAAAACCAUCUGCUACUAGAAUCAACAAGAGUCUCCCAGAAGCUCUACACUGAAGAGGCCCAAUGAAACCAGUAAAAGGAAGCAGCCAGCAGCAAAGCGGUUCAAGCCUCCAAUGGCGGAGAAGAUGCCAAGUGUUGAUCGGUCUCCCUUGGUGAGAAGGUCUCCCCUGGUGAGGAGUCCACACUUGAGGUUGGUUGUGUCCCCUGUGGUGAUAGAUCAUAGUCCAAGAAGUUCUUCACCAUCUCCACCACUACUUGUAGAGAGGUCCCCAUCCCCUUCUACAUUACCUGGUCCCUCUUCUGUACAGACUAAACUACGGAGGCUGAAAUCAGAUAUUUGGAGUGAUAUGGACCCUAUCUAUCAUGGUAGGAAACUUAUUCAAGCUCGCUGCAAGCACUGCAAUGAGGUAUUUUCUGCUGCACGAAAUUCAGGAAAUAGUCAUAUGCGUAGGCAUUUUGCGUUUGUGUGAACCAAGACUUAGAGUGCAUAACAUGGUUGAGAAAUUGCAGUCAUCAGCAUUUUCAACAGAGGCAGCUGCCCUAGCAAAUUGGAAAUUUGAUCGUAAAAUCACUCGUUGUGAACUUGUCCAGAGCUUGGUUCUCUUGAAAUGGGUAAUGAAAGGUUGCUAGCUGUUCCAGUAAACCUUUAUUUUCAGGGCACCGAGGUCGUACCAAGAAAUGCAAGAUCGCACUCCUGCUUGCUUUCUGGCGUGUUCCAGUUCAGUGUGUGAUGUGUGUUCAGUAUGGACAGGAGAAUUGAGGGCGUGUUGUAAUAAUGUGUUCGCAUGGUGAGGAGAGCGUGAGUGAUUGGUAUGUACAUUAAUGACAGAGGAGGUUAAGGGUAGGAAUUGUUUGAUCACAGUGUCUAUCCGUUCUGGGCCUUUUACUUGCUUGUCCAUAAGUGCUUAAUUCUGUGUGGAAUUAAACAAAUGUACAAUA